This is a long non-coding RNA of Cucumis sativus (cucumber), 1259 nucleotides long. RefSeq lists it as uncharacterized. The record is from RefSeq and is a predicted model, not a curated record. The transcript is spliced from 5 exons. NCBI's taxonomy places the organism in Eukaryota, Viridiplantae, Streptophyta, Magnoliopsida, Cucurbitales, Cucurbitaceae.
UCCUCCCAUCCGCGAGCCCUAACUUUCCCCCAAUUUCUUCCUCCCAUCCGCGUGAAGUCCCGUCGGCUUUCUCCCAAUUCUGACCGUCUGAAGUCCCGUCGCCACCACCACCCCCAUCCUGCCCGUCCGUCGAAACCUUCUCCACCAACCCGUCGCCACCACCCCCGUCUUCUCCAAACCUCUCCAAUCAACCCGAAGCUUCAAAUCGUGGGCGUCGGUCGUCACCCCUCCCCUCCGCCGGAAAUCAAGGCCAAAGGAGAUGUCAUGGCUAUGGGCUGAAGCUUUGAGAAAAAAAGAAUGAAAAAUGAAAUGUGAGAUCUUAAACUUUGAUGGUGUGUAGGGUCUUUUUGUUUGUCUAUGCAUUUUCCAAGUGAAUUUUAGUACUUUUGAUUUUUCUAUUGAUAUUUUGUUUAUGGUUGCUAUUGAGUUGCUUUGAUUGAAGGAUAGAGGGAAGUGAUUAUUGAUAAUUAUAGGAAAGGCAGUAUUUGUUGAAGGAAUUCCCCGUGAACUGGUUUCUUGUAAGAAGUAUUGUAAAGUUUUGAAGGUUGGGUUGUGGUAAUGGAAGCACCGUUAUUCCAAUCUUGCGCGGUAACCUCCAACCAAGCUAAUUUUAAAGGUGUCAAGUGUAUUUUGAUUUUGGAGAAGAAUUCAGAUGACAAAAGCAUCAAGAAGUCGAUCGUUGGUCUGGAAAGUUAGUGAUAAACAUCCAGGUUGGAUAUGCUUCAGCUGAGACUUUUUAGUUCAAUAGAGAAUCAUACAACAUUUUAGUUGGAGGUAUAUCUUUUCUGUUAAAUUUUUCAUGUAGGAUUUUGAUAUUUUUUUUUCGAUGCAGAUGGUCGUAUCAGGUACGAUUUUCUCAAAUAAUUCUCGGAUUUUUGUUUUUCGCUCAUUAACUUGUUUAAUUUGUUACUGAAUUCUACCUUCCAAUUCUACCAAUAAUAUUCAACCAGGUAUUUAUUUGGAUUAAAUUUGCUGAGAUAAAAUUUCUAUGGCUGGGCUGGGAUGCAGGGGGAGGAAUUCAUUAGAUUGUUAUUAGCAAAUACCACUAUUUGUUGGGCUAGGAUGCAUAUUGGUGCUUAAAAACUCUUUCUUCACUCAACAAAUUUUAUCAAUGCUUUUAACUCAUUCCUCCAUUUGUUCAUGGAAUUAUGUAAUGAUGAUUUGAUGUAAAUCCUUACUAAUUAAGAAUCUUGGCUACAAUCUUCUUGGCUUGACAUUCAGCUAAGUUAAAGUUAAUUGUGAAAUCUUCAUUUCUUUCA